This 253-nucleotide ribosomal RNA is filed under the name uncultured bacterium. Its description in RNAcentral is "partial 16S ribosomal RNA". It matches the Rfam family "Bacterial small subunit ribosomal RNA", at positions 524 to 776 of the family's 1533-position model. The record is from RNAcentral.
UACGUAGGGUGCGAGCGUUAAUCGGAAUUACUGGGCGUAAAGCGUGCGCAGGCGGUUUUGUAAGCCAGAUGUGAAAUCCCCGGGCUCAACCUGGGAAUGGCAUUUGGGACUGCAAGGCUCGAGUUUGGCAGAGGAGAUUGGAAUUCCCGGUGUAGCGGUGAAAUGUGUAGAGAUCGGGAGGAACACCGGUGGCGAAGGCGGGUCUCUGGGCAUCUCCUGACGCUGAGGCGCGAAAGCGUGGGGAGCAAACGGG